This 247-nucleotide ribosomal RNA is filed under the name uncultured archaeon. RNAcentral's name for it is "partial 16S ribosomal RNA". It matches the Rfam family "Archaeal small subunit ribosomal RNA", at positions 691 to 937 of the family's 1478-position model. The record is from RNAcentral.
CCGACGGUGAGGGGCGAAAGCUGGGGGCACGAACCGGAUUAGAUACCCGGGUAGUCCCAGCCGUAAACGAUGCUCGCUAGGUGUCUGGGAUGGUGCGACCGUUUCGGGUGCCGCAGGGAAGCCGUGAAGCGAGCCACCUGGGAAGUACGGCCGCAAGGCUGAAACUUAAAGGAAUUGGCGGGGGAGCACUACAACGGGUGGAGCCUACGGUUUAAUUGGACUCAACGCCGGAAAACUCACCUGGGGC